Long non-coding RNA from Telopea speciosissima, 280 nucleotides. RefSeq lists it as uncharacterized. The record is from RefSeq and is a predicted model, not a curated record. NCBI's taxonomy places the organism in Eukaryota, Viridiplantae, Streptophyta, Magnoliopsida, Proteales, Proteaceae. The transcript has 2 exons.
ACUUACAAGACUUUGAGGUCGGAAAGGGCAGUGAGCUCUCUUGGAAUUGAUCCUGUCAGCCUAUUGUUGUUAAGACGACUAGACUUACAGGAACCUAAGCGAUUUCAACUUAACCAAAGACUUUGGAAUCUCUCCUUCGAAGUUAUUGUUAUACAAAUCCACACUAACGAGGUUCUUCAAAUUACCCAACUCCUUAGGAAUUUUUCCUUCAAUAUUAUUCCUAUAGAGCUCCCUGCAAAGCGAUACAAAUUCCUAUUCACGAUCAGACAACAAGAAGUUU